This 305-nucleotide unclassified non-coding RNA is filed under the name plant metagenome. RNAcentral describes it as "partial contains 5.8S ribosomal RNA, internal transcribed spacer 2, and large subunit ribosomal RNA". The stretch from base 1 to 105 matches the Rfam family "5.8S ribosomal RNA", at positions 50 to 154 of the family's 154-position model. The record is from RNAcentral.
GAAAUGCGAUAAGUAGUGUGAAUUGCAGAAUUCAGUGAAUCAUCGAAUCUUUGAACGCACAUUGCGCCCUUUGGUAUUCCUUAGGGCAUGCCUGUUCGAGCGUCAUCUAAACCUUCAAGCCCUGCUUGGUGUUGGGUUCCUGUCCCGCCUCCGCGCGCGGACUCACCUCAUAUCCAUUGGCGGCCCCCGCGUCGGCCACGAGCGCAGCAGAAACGCGAACUCGUGAGCCCGUCCGGGCGGCUCCCAGAAGCUACACCCACCCAGUUUGACCUCGGAUCAGGUAGGGAUACCCGCUGAACUUAAGC